AUUGAACGCUGGCGGCAGGCCUAACACAUGCAAGUCGAGCGGAUGAAGGGAGCUUGCUCCUGGAUUCAGCGGCGGACGGGUGAGUAAUGCCUAGGAAUCUGCCUGGUAGUGGGGGAUAACGUCCGGAAACGGGCGCUGAUACCGCAUACGUCCUGAUGGAGGAAGUGGGGGAUCUUCGGACCUCACGCUAUCAGAUGAGCCUAGGUCGGAUUAGCUAGUUGGUGGGGUAAAGGGCUACCAAGGCGACGAUCCGUAACUGGUCUGAGAGGAUGAUCAGUCACACUGGAACUGAGACACGGUCCAGACUCCUACGGGAGGCAGCAGUGGGGAAUAUUGGACAAUGGGCGAAAGCCUGAUCCAGCCAUGCCGCGUGUGUGAAGAAGGUCUUCGGAUUGUAAAGCACUUUAAGUUGGGAGGAAGGGCAGUAAGUUAAUACCUUGCUGUUUUGACGUUACCAAAAGAAUAAGCACCGGCUAACUUCGUG
Molecule: ribosomal RNA, 484 nt
Filed under: uncultured bacterium
Lineage: Bacteria
Description: partial 16S ribosomal RNA
Rfam family: Bacterial small subunit ribosomal RNA
Source: RNAcentral